AGAAUCAACGCUGGCGGCGUGCCUAACACAUGCAAGUCGAACGAGAAAGGGGAGCAAUCCCUGAGUAAAGUGGCGACCGGGUGAGUAACACGUGACUAACCUACCCUCGAGUGUGGAAUAACAUCGGGAAAACCGAUGCUAAUACCGCAUAACAUCGGCGCUUUUAAGAGAUGCCGAUCAAAAGGAGCAAUCCGCUUGAGGAGGGGGUCGCGGCUGAUUAGUUAGUUGGCGGGGUAAUGGCCCACCAAGACUAUGAUCGGUA
RNAcentral lists this ribosomal RNA (262 nucleotides) under uncultured bacterium. RNAcentral's name for it is "partial small subunit ribosomal RNA". It matches the Rfam family "Bacterial small subunit ribosomal RNA", at positions 26 to 285 of the family's 1533-position model. The record is from RNAcentral.